ACGUAGGGAGCAAGCGUUGUCCGGAAUUACUGGGUGUAAAGGGAGCGUAGGCGGGAAGGCAAGUCAGCUGUGAAGUACCUGGGCUUAACCCAUGAACUGCAGUUGAAACUGUUUUUCUUGAGUGCAGUAGAGGCAGGCGGAAUUCCCGGUGUAGCGGUGAAAUGCGUAGAUAUUCGGAGGAACACCAGUGGCGAAGGCGGCCUGCUGGACUUUAACUGACGCUGAGGCUCGAAAGUGUGGGGAGCAAACAG
Molecule: ribosomal RNA, 251 nt
Filed under: uncultured prokaryote
Description: partial 16S rRNA
Rfam family: Bacterial small subunit ribosomal RNA
Source: RNAcentral